GAGCCCUGAGAAUAGGUCUAAUCAUGUGACACUGAAACACCUGUGCACACCCACACAGGUGUAUUCAGGUUCAAGUUGGAUGGAGCCAUACCGGGAACUGCUUGAAUUUUUACUAAUCCACACAAUGCAGAAUGGGAAGAAGAGGAAAAAGUGCCUCUUAUUCUGACUUGUGAGUGUCCACACGUUAUUCUAGGUUUGAUCAACUGCAACUCAACUGUUAACAUCCCGGUUAACAGAGCAGAGGUCGACACCAUCUCACGGCCAUUAACUCCAGGUCAAACAGAGAAGAUGUUGCUCUUGUUGAUGGGGGAGUAAAGAGUUUAUUACCAUGUCCUCAAACACGUCAACAAGUUUAUCCCACUGCCGACGGAUCUUGGCCGCCGCCUUCUCGUGUUUCCGGUUCUUGCAGGAGUAGUUGUUCUUCAUCAGCUGGCCGAUGUAGUCCCUCACCACGUGGUAGUGCAGCCGGCUGGCAAACGGCUGUCGUCGAGAAACACAACGAGCACACACACGAAGGGAGAUAGAUGGCUGAAUAACAGGAUAGGCACACAAAAAAAGGGGGAAUGUGAGCAUCCCCGGGAGGCACUGGUGUCUUUAUUCGUCCGUCAGGCGACGAGCAGCCGUCAGAUCGUUUGCGCUGACACCCCUACUUCCAGCUAUUCAUUCGUGCCUGUUGCCGGGGUCUAGUCCUCUAACUGCAAUGUUUUCUGCAGUUGCGGCAUCCGGCAAAAUAACAAUGGUGCCCAGUUUGAUACACUGGAACUUCCAAAAGGGUCAACGAAAAGUAAAUAAGGAUUUCCUCUGCAGACAUUCAAAGCAAUUACUUUUAUCAGUGAAAACCUUAUCACUUCAAUUCAUUUUUAUUUAAUCUUCUUGCAUCUUUUGCACUCAUUAAGCCAAACCUAACCCCAAAUAUAAAACCUUAACAAACCUAAAAUCUCCUGUCAAUUUUUUAUU
Xiphias gladius (swordfish) is the source of this 957-nucleotide long non-coding RNA. RefSeq lists it as uncharacterized. The record is from RefSeq and is a predicted model, not a curated record. The transcript is spliced from 3 exons. Lineage: Eukaryota; Metazoa; Chordata; Actinopteri; Istiophoriformes; Xiphiidae.